UACCGGCAGCUCGAGUGAUAGCCACUAUUAUUGGGCCUAAAGCGUCCGUAGCCGGCCGAACAGGUCCGUCGGGAAAUCCACCCGCUCAACGGGUGGACGUCCGGCGGAAACCAGUCGGCUUGGGGCCGGGAGACCAGAGAGGUACGUCCGGGGUAGGGGUGAAAUCCGGUAAGCCGGGAGGGACCGCCGGUAGCGAAAGCGUCUCCGGAGAACGGACCCGACGGUGAGGGACGAAAGCUUGGGUCUCGAACCGG
Molecule: ribosomal RNA, 254 nt
Filed under: uncultured bacterium
Lineage: Bacteria
Description: partial 16S ribosomal RNA
Rfam family: Archaeal small subunit ribosomal RNA
Source: RNAcentral